Long non-coding RNA from Xiphias gladius (swordfish), 639 nucleotides. RefSeq lists it as uncharacterized. Lineage: Eukaryota; Metazoa; Chordata; Actinopteri; Istiophoriformes; Xiphiidae. The record is from RefSeq and is a predicted model, not a curated record. The transcript is spliced from 3 exons.
AAUGCUCCACUGCAGCCUGGAAGAGCGAGGGAGUGAGAGAGCGAGAGAGAGAAUUUUAGUUAUGGCACAAUGAAUACACAGAGACACACACGAGUGAAUCUGAUGCAUUCAGAUACUCUUUGGCUCUCACAUCAAACAGGGGUCAGCAGAGGAUAAAAAUCAAAGAAAAGCAAGGAGGAGCAAAACCAAACACAACACGCUGUACAGGACCCCAGGCUAACCUGGCUGCCUAGCAUUUUGCCAGCAGUAGGACAGCGGUGAACUACUGCUCGUCUGCAUCCAGCCUGUUCUACCGUGGAGAGGAAACACUGGAGAGGACCUCCACUGAUUUUACAGAUGAGACCAGUCAGCUCAUCAAGGUGGCCGCUCAGCCUGUGAAAACAUCUGCAUAUUGUCCUCUGUGUUCCUAGAGGGAGCUCUCCAGAGUUUGAGAAAAUAACCCCUGAUGAUGUCAUCAGGGGUUAUUUUCUACACUUAAAGACCCCAAGAAUUUUUAACAGAAACAUUUAAGACAGGGGAGUACACAACAAUUUCAUAUCAAACAAUUAUAAUUUGGUUUGGAGAUAUGUUUGACCGGCAAUGGGAGAUAACUAAUUACUUUUCGUAUUUGAGUAGAGAUUCUGGUAUUGGCUACUGAAC